UGGGGAAUUUUGGACAAUGGGCGAAAGCCUGAUCCAGCAAUGCCGCGUGUGUGAAGAAGGCCUUCGGGUUGUAAAGCACUUUUGUCCGGAAAGAAAUCCUUGGCUCUAAUACAGUCGGGGGAUGACGGUACCGGAAGAAUAAGCACCGGCUAACUACGUGCCAGCAGCCGCGGUAAUACGUAGGGUGCAAGCGUUAAUCGGAAUUACUGGGCGUAAAGCGUGCGCAGGCGGUUUGCUAAGACCGAUGUGAAAUCCCCGGGCUCAACCUGGGAACUGCAUUGGUGACUGGCAGGCUAGAGUAUGGCAGAGGGGGGUAGAAUUCCACGUGUAGCAGUGAAAUGCGUAGAGAUGUGGAGGAAUACCGAUGGCGAAGGCAGCCCCCUGGGCCAAUACUGACGCUCAUGCACGAAAAGCGUGGGGAGCAAAACAGGAUUAGAUACCCUGGUAGUCCACGCCCUAAAACGAUGUCAACUAGUUGUUGGGGAUUCAUUUCCUUAGUAACGUAGCUAACGCGUGAAGUUGACCGCCUGGGGAGUACGGUCGCAAGAUUAAAACUCAAAGGAAUUGAC
RNAcentral lists this ribosomal RNA (569 nucleotides) under uncultured bacterium. RNAcentral's name for it is "partial 16S ribosomal RNA". It matches the Rfam family "Bacterial small subunit ribosomal RNA", at positions 355 to 914 of the family's 1533-position model. The record is from RNAcentral.